RNAcentral lists this ribosomal RNA (215 nucleotides) under Staphylococcus aureus. RNAcentral's name for it is "partial 23S ribosomal RNA". It matches the Rfam family "Bacterial large subunit ribosomal RNA", at positions 2223 to 2437 of the family's 2925-position model. Lineage: Bacteria; Bacillati; Bacillota; Bacilli; Caryophanales; Staphylococcaceae. The record is from RNAcentral.
UAACCCGCACCACUUAUCGUGGUGGGAGACAGUGUCAGGCGGGCAGUUUGACUGGGGCGGUCGCCUCCUAAAAGGUAACGGAGGCGCCCAAAGGUUCCCUCAGAAUGGUUGGAAAUCAUUCAUAGAGUGUAAAGGCAUAAGGGAGCUUGACUGCGAGACCUACAAGUCGAGCAGGGUCGAAAGACGGACUUAGUGAUCCGGUGGUUCCGCAUGGA